UAAACUACAAGCAUGAAGUAUGCCCAGAUACCAUAUCUGAGAGCUCCACAUGAACAGCUCUCUCUCUUUAGCUGACAUCACUUCAAAAGAUUAUCACCUCCUAUACAUUUUCACAAUUAUCUGGACUCUUUUCAAUUGCCCACUCCAACUACCAACAAAUCACACAGUUGUUGAAGGCACUUAUUAACUUGGUUUGUGCAGUUUCAUUUAUUAACAGAUUUUCUGUUUUAGCUGGGACUGAGUGCCAGGAAAUAUUUACACUACAUGCAUUCACUUCCAAUAAAUACCAUUUUCUACUUUUGUUAGAAGACAAAGAAUAUUUCCAGAAUGGUGUGCAUUUAGAGCAAUUAUACUGAUUUUUAAAGAGCUGAAAAGAAAUUUUCAUGAUAAUGACAACCUGCUUCCCUGACCCAAGUUAUGCUGGGCAUCACUCCCAGCUGCCAGAAGAGGGGAGCUUGGCAAGGCCUUCUCUCCAUUAGGUAGCUUCCCAUCACGUUUAACAGACAAAAAUAUUAAAUUCCCAAUUUUGCCAGGACUGGUGAAACUGGGCACCAGAACAUUCAACAGCUACUCUGAAGGAGGUUGGAUUUCACUGCUGAUGGGCCUUGGAGAGUUUCCAGCAAUUCCUGUUCAUCUGGUCCCUUGUCCCAGUGCUGUACCAGCCCUUUUAAAAGUCAUACAUGUUUAUUUAGUACUUCUUAGAAAUUCCCACAAUAGUAGCCAGCAACACAGACUAGUCCAACUGGUAUUUUUCCAGCUAACACUGUUUCGAACCAUAAUUUUUGGCAAAAUACAUAUUAUUCUUUAACCCUACAGCCUCGCUCCCAGUUUGUGACAGCUCCACAGCAAAUGUCCCUUUCUGCUCUGCCCACAGCAGCAGCAGAGCUGCCAGUGCCUGAAUGAUGUCUGGCUCCUUGGGCUGGUGUGGGAUCAACUGCCCCAAAUGGCACUGGGGCUUCUGAUGCACCUGUCAGGAGAUGUUCUCCUGCAUCCCCCAAGUUUCUGGAAAUGAGACUGAACUGCCAAAGCCAGCCAGGAGCACCAGGGUUACAACACAAUAGUGCUGGACCAAGUGGCAGCUCCAUCCAGAGACCCCAGUGACAGUCCAAGAGCUCUGUAUUGAACCAUUAAAUGUCUGGCAGAUCAGCACAGCUGUAAAUAUUUAAUGGCAAGAAGCCUGCUCAGAGUAGACAAGCACUUACUCAUUUUUGUCUCAGUUUCCUUGCCUAGGCACUCUGCAGAGAGGGGACAGAUGGCCUCCCAGCCCCAUCAGUGUUUGCUCCUGUGUCCCCUACCUGUGCACCUUCCUCAAGGGGCACCUGUGGCAGGCAGACACCCUGAUAACAGCCUGGGCAGGUACAGGGCCUUAGAGAUGGCAAAAGGGCCACCUGUUUUCCAGAAGACAUACCAGGAUCACAGCUUGAUGCUAGCAAGGUGUUUUCUGUUGAAAUACCUGUUGAAAGGGUACUGCUAAGGCACUCUACAAGAAUUAAUAGAAGACAUGGUUUAUCCAAAGGAGGAGAAGUCCAACAAACAAGAACAACAACCAGAAUUACUUUUGAGCAAGGCAUUUCAGUUUAUUGUCAAGACACUUUCUUCCCUCAUUUGUCAGCAAGUAUUUUAGAUAAUUUCUAACAUGGACUUCCAGCUCAAAGAGGUCACAAUUUCCCAGACCCUGGUGAUCAUUUGAGAGAGCAAGUUUGUGGCACAGAAAGUAAUGUUUUAGAUUCUUUGUUCCCAAACCCCAACAUGGCUCCACAUGAGAUUGUCACAUUAUGCAAGAAACUCAUCCCAUGUAUUUGAUGACUACUUUGUUGCAGUCAGUCCUGGACUUCAAAGCUGCACUUCAGAAAAAAAAAAACUUUUGUUACACAGCUUGCUUGCCUUGGGUUGUGCUUAAGAGUCUAAAACCAGAGUACUGCUUGUGGUUUUUUUAACUUAGAAAUAACCAAUCAACUACUUUCCAUGUUUCCACAUGCCACAGUCUCAAAUUCUGACCAAUUUUGCAAGAAAACGCAUGAGCAAAUGGAGAAAUCAGGCUUAAUGUUCUGUGUUGGAAUAAAUAAAGGGCUGUCUCUUGAAUAUUACAUUGAGGUACUUUUUUUCCUCUGUGUAUCUCAUCACAAGAGACCUUUCUGUGGAAUUUGUUUGUUUGAUCUUUGCCCUAGAAGAUCCAAGUGUGCUGUGUAUGGGAAUAUGGCAACCUCAUUUGGGAUCACCAGUGGUUUGAUACUGUCUAUCCAUGGCUUGCCAAUGGACUUGAGCUACCUUAGACUCAAACUUGGACUUCUGUGCAACUCUGCAUGACCUGUGCUCACAGCCACGUCUCCCUGGGCACCCAUUUUCCUUCGGAUCUCCUUGCUGAAAUGUACUUUUGUUUUGUAUCAGGACUCCACAAAAAAGUAAAUACAUUAAAAUCAUUAUAAUUUCCUAGUCUGUGACCGCUGCACUGACUACAUAAACCUGGCCUUUGCUUUUUAAGUCCUUUGGACUACACUGUAGCUCCAGAUGGCACAGCAAUUUGCAAAAUCACCAUUUCCAGGCAGCACAUUACAACACCCUGAUUAAGGCAAGAAGGAUGGGACCAUGUCUUACUAAGGCAGCUUCUCAGCUGGUGAUGCUGCACUGGGCACUGAAUUCUUGUGUCAUUGGAAUGCUCUUUCCCUCUUUUAAACUGACCUAGAAAUCAGAGGUUUUCCCCAAAUUUAGUUCCCAAAGGCAGGAAUUUGUGUGUCCAUUUUCUGCAACUCAGUGUGAAGAGACUGCUGGAAAGAGCCUGUAAUUUCUUCUGGAAAAUGUACAUUGAACAGAUAUUUGACUUUUAAAAAAGAAAACAUUAGUGUUCUACCAAGAUGCACAUGAACAACAUUCCUCCCCAGAUAGCAGAUAGUUCAUGUAGUUUCUUCUAUUCUUGUUUCCAGGAUUUCAUCUUGUGAUGUUUUAGAAUUUUUUGGUUUUCUGGAGAUUUUUGUUUUGUUUUGUGGUUUUGUUUUCAUAAUUUACGUAUUUUUUCCUCACAAAUUAGUUUUUACCAUCUAAACACAGAACCUAAAUUUUUAACAUUUUUUUUCCUAGAGGUAGUGAAAACGCAGAAACUUAUUGCUACCUUAUGUGUCCUGACAAAUUUUUUUUUUUUUUCCUUCAGCAGCUAACAAUUCUGGUUUUAUACUGUAGGUUGGUGCACAAAUAGACCAGAGUACUACAGACAGAAGCAACUCAGCUACAUUGGGACUGGAUUUUCUUCUCUAUAUACCUCCCCACAUGCUUAUACACACACAUUUGGAUUCACUAUUAACAGACAAUUUCCUACUAAAAAUCAAUGACAUUUUCCAUUAGCAUUGUUGGGAGAAGCAUUGAUUGGCCCUUAAAAGGUUGGCUGCACAUUAUGUGAAAGAACCCAACUGCAAAGAGCUAAAUUUGCAACAUAAAAUGUACUCAACAUUCCGCCAGGGAAGCACUAUCAAGGCUUUUAUCCAGUUUUUCAGGAUAAUAUAUGACACAGCACAUCUUUAUCCAACAUUUCUAUAUUUUACUCUGCUGAGUGUUUAUUAAUUCACACCAGUUAUAACCACAGUCACAAUCCAGCACUGAGUAGUUGCAAGAUUUUAAUGCUGUACUCAGAUUUAAGUUGGUAACAUCCCUUUAGAACCAAGAAAGUUAUCCAUUUUGCCUGAAGAUUUUUCUAGUCUUGACCAUGCAAGAAAUCACUUUCAAAAGUUAUUCAGAAAAUUAAGUGUAACGGGGGAACUCACACAGCUACCAAGGGCAUUAUAAAGCUAUUGUGCUCCCUUUUGUGAGUAUUGAAGUUAUUUUAAAUAAAACAUGUAAAAUGAUUCCUCAUUCUCACUCUAAGUUAUGUAACACACUGUUUUACCAUUGAAGCCCAUCCUUUUAAUUCUCUUUUGGAAAAGCAAACAAUGCAUCAUUUUGAAUCACUCAAAUGUACUGUGGCACUGGCUUUGUUUCAACAGUGACUGCUGCUACAAAUGACUUUUCCAGAACUUUGUGGUAUCCAAAGAAUACCUAACAAGAUCUAUUUGCUUGCACUAGUAUUAACACAUUCAUCCCUGUGCUGUCUGCAAGAGUGGCCUCUGUUUGCUCCAGGAAAUGACUGAAGGUUUAGCAAGUUACCCCAAUGCAAGUGUCUGUAGACCUGUACCCAGUACAUUGGAAGCACUGGAUGCAGAGUUGUUGGUAGAAAUUAGACAAAAUAAGUCUGAGCUUUGAUCUUCCCAAUCCCCUUCAUUCUUUCCAGACUUCAGGCACAGUGGUUCUAUAGAACCCUCCCAAAAGCUGUGCUUGGGCCACCUAGCCAGUGCUGCCUGAGGUCUCCUGGAGCACUCCUCACUCCAGCCUACUACUGCUUCUCUAAGCUCACCCAAUUUUGCUCAUUUUCCUCUUCUAAAUUGUUUGGGGUUUUGGGUUUUUCCCCCCACGUUUGACUGACUUCAGCCUUCUACACCCUUUGAAUUAGGAUGAAACACAUGGGCUACAAUUUUUCUUCCUCCUUGCUGUGGCUAUUCCAUUGUUCCUUUGCCUUUUUCUCUCCUCUGUUCUUGCUGAAACUUCUUUACCAUCUAGAAUCUGCACUAGCCUGCCCAACCCAUACCUUAAUCUGUGCAUUCACUGUACUUCUCAGUAAUCUCCUUGCUUCCCCUUUUCUGCCAGCGCCUUCUUUCAGGCUGAGCCUUAUGCAGGAACCAGCGUCCCAGUCCUGGUUUCUCAAAAUCCUGUCUUCAUCAAAUUCACUUCUUAUCCAAAUCUUUUAACUGAUAUCCAGCAGCCUUCCAAACCUCCUCUCGCCAAGCUAUUGCUCCUUGCAUAACCUCCAUCAUUUCAAUUAAGUUCUCCUUUCCAGUGUACAAACAGCAGUGAAGGCUUGUAAAUGCCCCAGGGCCUUGUGAAUGUAUUUACAGAUUCACAACAUUAUUGGGCUGCCUACAUCUGACAACAGAACUUUGAACAUUAAGGAACAAAACAUGAAAUGAGUUAAUAUAUGGCAGAAUUUAGAAAAAGACUGAAGCUGAAAACCAUUCCCAGUAAAACGGACACCAGAAAUAAAUCUCACAUCUAGCUUCAAUAAAGAUUCUUGUUUUAGAGGCAAACUGUAGACCAGCUGUAAACUCCAAACAAGCCCUGUGAUACUAUGAUGCAUUAAGCACCAGGAUGACAAGUCUACUUUUUCUCUUCAGCACAACCAAGUCUGCAUAUGUGCCCUCCUCUCCUUCUGCUCUGGAUGUCUUUAGAAGAGGCUUGCUAAAUUUAAUCUACACUUGUAGACCCAUAAAACCUCACUGCAAAACCUCCCAAUGGAGGAACAUUAUUGUCUAAGGAAGUAACUUUGAAGUUUUAAGUGUGACAAAAUAAUGAACCAGUUCUGCCUGUGGGGAGAUGACAUGGUGACAUCUCUGUAAGAAAGUUACAUCAGCUACCAAAGUAAGUGGUAUUAGCACCAUUAAAUAUAUUUCAGCACACCUAAGGUAUUUCACUACCUGUAAAAUGUAGUCUUGUAGCAAGAUCAGCAGGGCUGCCUAAACACUGUCUUCUGCACGUUAGCCAAAACACGAGCCUUAGCCCAAGUUCACCAAGUUCACCAGAUGUGGGUUUUAGAGGAGCAUCAAGGCUGUCUGUGCCAGAGAGGAAAUUCAGCCUGGGCUACAUUCAAGUUUAAUCUCAUCUACCUGCACUGACACCGUGCAUGUAAGCCAGGCUUUUCUCAAGAGUUCCCUGCACAGCCCAUAAACAACGGCAGCAUCAGCUGGCCAUCACCAGGGAACAAGCUGGCCAUGCUCACCCCUACAGGCACUCGAUGCAAAGGGCUGCAAAUGCUGCAGGCACCAGAGAUACAAUUUUGCCCAGUGCAUUCAUUUUUCACUUAGAUGAUUCAUCUUAGAUUUCAUCUGUAAACAAUAAAGGAAGCCUGAGUGUUAUUUAUGACACACUGUCCUGUCAGGAUGGGGGCACGAGGACUGGCUAGCAUUUAGCAUGGCUUUCUACAGGACAGCACCUGCUGUGAAAAGGACUUGGUCCUUUCAUGUUUCAUGAGAUCAGCUGAGCAAGACAGAGCAAAGCAACACUGGCAAGAUGUUUAGUGCUAAACACUCUACACUGCUACCUCUUUGUAACAGAAUGUAGUUCAAUAUUAACAAUAUCUGAAACAAUCUGCUUUAUCCAGUUAGGUUUUAUCUUAAUUUUAAAAAUCAAAUGGUUCUUUCAAUAUAGUUAUCAUAUGAAAAUGGUAGAAAGUUUGCUGCACACCAGUUGAUACACCCUUGUUCCACUGAGUGCAGCUGGAUUCAAUUUGUCCAUUUCACUUCCCACUCACUCUGCUUAUAAUCUGGUUCUCCAAGAACUUUAGUUUUCUGGGACAGGUUGCAAGUAGGACAGAAGUAGUAGAAACACUCACAUGACACUGGAGAAAGCUUAGGAUUAUUUAAAUUUUUUUAGUCUCAGAACUGAGAUACCAAAAUGGGAUGGAUGAGUGAGUACACUUUAGUUGUGUCUAAAGUGAAUUAGUAAAUUUUGCAAUGAAAACUGGAAAUUAGUAGGUGGAUGCAUGGAUGAUGGCAUUCAAUGGGUUGCCAUACGCUGUGGGACACAUCUUUUGAAGGAGAUUUUAAUCGACUCAAAAGACAAUAUGGCAACUGGCAGGCUUUUACUUUAUUGAAGCAAAGUCACAGCAUUUUCAGCACUAUUCCCCUCUUGUGAAGGGAAGAGUUAAACGAAGGCCCCUGAAAUUUACAUAACUAACAAGUAAAGGAUUGAAGAAAGAGAUUACAAGCAUAUUUCUCUAAAAUAAAUAAUCUACAAAGAGUGCUUUUUCUUCUUAAAAGCAAUCUAAAAAUGUAAAAAUUCUACGGUAAGGAGAUCAAAAGAUAUUUUAACAACUUUCAAUAUUUACAAACAAUACAAAAACUGCGCAUGCCAUCAAAUGAUGCAAAAUUCUUAUUAAAAAUUAAAAGCUUCAUUCCUACCAAGAACCAAAAACUCCAGCCAAUAUUUCAGUUUUAAUUAAUGGUCUUCUUUACAAUUGGAAAACCGUUAAAUGUUCUUAUUAUCUGUAAAAUAUACAAUAAAAACGAACCUCACUAAAUUAUUAAGGUUAAAAAAGAAGAGCAAUACUGCAGGCAAAUCAAAAAGGAAAGUAACCGUAACUUAUUCUUUGGUAACCAAAAGUUAGCAAGUAUCUGUAUUUCAAGUGAUGCAAAGUAAUAGUCUCCCCAUUUUGACAAAUGAAAGACAGAUUUCCGGCAAAAUACAAUUCCCAAGUUUCAGUUUUGAAAGACGGGCUCCACCUACAGCUUUGUAGUGCAAGUCAAAUUUCUCUUUCUAAUUCAGAAACACAACUGUCCUGGUUCCGGCCAGGACAGGGUUCAUUUUCUGCAGCAGCCAGACGGGGCUGUGGCCAGGACACAGAGGUUGCUCUACACCACCUCACAACGCUGCUGGGAACAAGGAGGAGGGGCAGCAGGUCACACCUUACUGGGCUCUGUCACCUGGGAGCCAUUCACCUUUCUCGUGCACGCUCUAAGCGUUGUCACUGUUACUGUCCAUUUUCUUACUUCACUGUUGUUUCCAGUGAAUUUUUAUUUUAUCAGCCCCCAACCUUCACCUUUUGUGCCUCUAAUUCUCCUCCCCAGCCACCCGCAGACGUAAGAGGAGAGGGGAGUGAGUGAGUACAUGGUCUGGAGUGUUGUGGUGGAACACUAAAUUGGGGAUUACCAUUCCUAAACCAUGACAGCAACCCUUCCAAAUUCUGGCUUCAUUCAUCUCCUACUUUCCUGAUGUCUGCUUGCACCCUCCACAUGCAUCCAGCUGUUCUAGUUCUCUAAGGGAAUACUCCAGUCAAGGAAGCAAUUCACCGGGAAAUGUGUGUUUCACCAAGUGAAGAUGUGUGGCUGCACAGCAGCCAGUAGUGUGUUAUAAAAUCAGCUCCCUUUUCCACCUUAACUACACAGUUCAUUUUCCCUCAGGAAAAAGAAUUAAAAGUACAGUACCCUGGACCAAUCCAUAACCUGGUGAGCUCAGUGCUUGAGCAGGACAUGCUUCAUCAAACGCUGGGCCAUACUCCUCCAAGGAGCCAUGUAACCCCAGCAUCAACCCUGCUACCUUCUCUCAGAGGUGAAUGUGCCUCAUUGUGCCUCCCUCUGCUCCACAAAUGCACUACGCUGCAUCACUACAAUGCUUUUGAAACAAAUGUCCAGCUUGUACCACAGGAGCCUUCGCAUUUCAGGCUUAUUCCCAAAUUUUGCUUGCACAAUUGCAGUCUUAAGAAAAAGAAAAACUUCACACCCCUACAGACUCUGAGAAAACUUCCC
Non-coding RNA from Zonotrichia albicollis (white-throated sparrow), 8318 nucleotides. The record is from RefSeq and is a predicted model, not a curated record. NCBI's taxonomy places the organism in Eukaryota, Metazoa, Chordata, Aves, Passeriformes, Passerellidae.